Molecule: long non-coding RNA, 3437 nt
Filed under: Dasypus novemcinctus (nine-banded armadillo)
Lineage: Eukaryota; Metazoa; Chordata; Mammalia; Cingulata; Dasypodidae
Description: lncRNA (ENSDNOG00000050592.1)
Source: RNAcentral
UGCAAAAUAACAAGUGGCAGCUCUCAGAAAGUCCUGCUACAGGUCCCAGACUAAUCCUCCCCUAGUCAGCAAGAGUGGUGGAUGGCACUGGUCGGAAGAGCCGACAUGAUCUCUUGUAGCGAGUCAGCCUGGAUAUGUGUUUGGAAACCACAGGCUCGGCCUGUGGCUGUCAGACUUCCCAGACACCAUCUGCUGCCUGCCUGCCUGUCAUCAUCAUUGUCAGAACAGGCCUGAGGGAGAGGGAAACACUGAACACCUAUGUGUCUUACUGCUUCUGUGUCACAUCCUGGAAUGCUGCUCAUCCUGCUGUAUCCAGCAACCCAGUCACAAAGAACCAAGGUGUUGUUAUAAGAACGUUUGUUAAAUUAAAGGCACCGACUUCAUUCUUGGGCAGAUUUGCUUCCUGUGGAGUGCCCAGUCCUGUUGUCUAAUUUUCUUGUUCUUUGUGAGUCUGAUCUAUAUUGUUUUACUAUCUUUCAGUUACUUGGGUAUUAGAAGUAAAUUAGAGGGAAAUAGAAUAUGGCUCAAGUGAUUGAGCUCCUGCCGACCACAUGGGAGGUCCUGGGUUCAGUUCCUGGUUCCUCCUGGGAAGGAUGAGCAAGAUAGUGAGCUGGCAUGAUGAGCUGAUGCAACAAGAUGAUGCAACAAAGAGACACAAAGAGGAAAGACGAGACACACAAUAAAAAAAGCAGGGAGCUGCAGUGGCUCAGGCAACUGGGCACCUCUCUCCCACAUGGGAGGUCCUGAGUUCAGUUCCCAGUGCCUCUUAAAGAGAAGACAAGCAGACAAAGAGAGCACACAGCACAUGGACACAUAGAGCAGACAGUGAGUGCAAAUAAUGAGGGGGGAGGAUGAAAAUAAAUUAAAAAUGAAUCUUUUUUUUUAAAAUAAAAAGGAGUAAAUGAGAAAGAAUUUUAAAUAGUUUCUUUCUAUGCUAGUUUCAUGGUAACAUGAACCUAUGCUCUGAAAAGAAGACUUGACUAUUUAGGUACUAUAGUCAUUGACACUAGAUCUCUUAUCAUUGACUAAGUGAGAGUUAACUGUUGUCAAAUAUCCAUCCAUAACUUGAAUUACAAGUUAGGCCAGCAGCUUAGGUGAAUAAUAGCAAUGCAGCUUAUUACAGUUCAUUAUACUUCUUUACUUCUCUCAUCUAGAAUAAUCAGAUAGUAAAAACAAAAUGUAGAUGUGGUACUUGAAAUUUGUUUGUUUCUAAGGCUUCUGUCUGUCUCUAUUAGUUUGAAAAAUUUUUCAAUUUUAUUUCACCAUGUCUGUUUCCUUUGUGUGAAUCACAUAAUCGUAUCCUUAGCCCAUUCAUCCUUUGAAGCACUGGUAGUGGACAUAUGUAUGUUUGAAUACAUUUUUAUAUGCUUGGAGAUAACUAUUUUCCAUUUGUGAUAAAUAUUUUUCUUUUGUUUUUGUUGCUAGUUAUUUUUAUUGCCUAGAUUAAAAAUUUUACUUAACUAUACUUGACAAUUUUAUUUCAUUUGUAAUAUCUCCUUUUGAUUCAAUUGUAAGAAAAUUAUCACCAUCAAGUGUGACUAAAAACCUUAUGUUUGUAAUAAAGGUACCAUACUCAUGUAAAAUGUUAUUAAUAGGGGAAAAUGUGAGGGGGGAAAGGGUGGGGUGUAUGGGAAUCCUGUAUAUUUUCAAUGUGAUAUUUCUAUCCUCUAAAGUUCCUUUGAGAGAAAGUGAAAAAAAAGUAUGACUCUGGGAGAACAUAUAGAAGAAAUUUUCAUCAAACAUAAAAGAUAACAGAUCUUAUGGUGAUGGAAGGCAUAAUGCCAAAAAUCUUUUUUUGGCUUUGUUUUGGGGGGAGGUUUAGGAUUACAGAAAAGGUAUAGCUAUGGCAGAGGAGGACCACUGGUGCAGGGUGCCAGUGGUGGGGGGAUGUAUGGGGAAGGAUGUACCUACAUCAUGCCUCUAUGGAAUAUGAUUGUGUUCAUAUGGUCACGUGGUGUUAUCUCAGUGGGUGGAGACCCACACAAUAACCAUUCCCAUCCUGGGGAGUCCUGCUAUAUUCUCUAAUAGAGUGGCAAGAAUCUCUGUAGUACAUGGGCAGUGCCUAGCGAAAGAGGACAGACCACUACACCAGGCCCUGGAUAUUAAUGUUUGUACUUAGGAACCUUAUUUUUGUAAAAUUGAAACUUAGCCUAGUAUUUAUGUAUUGCCUAAGAGUUACCUCCUGGAAACUUCCUUGUUACUCAAAUGUGGCCUCUUUUCUAAGCCAAACUCAGCAUGUAAGCUCACUGCUUUCCCUGCAGUGUGGGACACGACUCCUGGGGAUGGGCCUACCUGGCACUGAGGGAUUAUUACCAAGCGCCAACUAGUGGUGCACUUGGAAAAAGACCUUGACCCAAAGGGGGAAAUAUUAAAAACAAACAAAUUUUACAGUUAAGAGAUUUCAAAGUGAGUCGGGAUAUUUAUUCCAGAGGUUAUAUCCAUCAUAUCACAGGAGGAUCUCACUGACUGCCAUAGUAAACAAUGUCCCAAGCAGGGGUGUUCCUAAGGGUUCUAGAGACAUCUGGAUGCUAUAGGCAGGGCAGGCAGCCCCAGGAAAUCGGCACCCUAUUGGUGGGUCUUACCUUGGAAUAUAUCAUAACUUAUCUCCCCAAUGUAUCAUAGUUAGACUCAUUUAUAAUUUUCCUACACAUGGUUCUUCUGCCCCUUUUAUUUGAACCUAUUAUUGGCACUAUACCUGUUAAAUAUAUGUCCUAGAGACUUAAAUCUGUUCUGUUCAUAUGCCAUUUGAGCUCUGAAUCUCAGCAGAGUUGCAACUAACACCUACUCUCCAGUUCAUCGGACUCACCCAGGACAGCUAACAAAAGGAUGAUGAUGGACAACACCCAUCUCCAAAAAACAGAGAGUAUUUACAACUGCAAGCAAGACAGUUCCAUCCACCUGCCCCAUGGAAUUGAAGCCCCCUUUCAAGCAGAGUGGGCAUCACCAUCCCCAAAUCCUCAAGACUGAAGAACGAACACACAUAAGGGGGGAAUGCAAAUAUGAGCCAGAGUAGACUUAUUAUUCUAGUUUUGGAAGAACUUGUAGCAGUAAUAAAAAGACAGUAGUCACCAGAAGUUCUGAGGGGAGGGAGACAGAAGAAUAGGUAUAACAUGGGGCAUUUUUUUGGACAUUGGAAUUGUUCUGCAUGGUAUUGCAAUAAUGGAUAAUGGUCAGUAUACAUUUUGUCAAAACCUAUAAAAUUUUGCAACACAAAGUGUAAGCCAUAAUGUAAACUAUAGACCAUGGUUAGUAGCAAUGCUUUAAUAUUUGUUCUUCAAUUGCAACCAGUGUACCACAUUAAUGAAUGAUAUUGUUAAUGGGGGAAAGUGUGAGAGGGGGAGGAGGUAAGGUAUAUGGGAAUCCCUUAUAUUUUCUAUGUAACUUUUAUGUAAUCUAAAAUUUUUUCAAAAAUAAAGGAAAAAAACCUAUUCUUUCCU